RNAcentral lists this ribosomal RNA (420 nucleotides) under Streptococcus uberis. RNAcentral describes it as "bacterial SSU rRNA". It matches the Rfam family "Bacterial small subunit ribosomal RNA", at positions 23 to 431 of the family's 1533-position model. The record is from RNAcentral. Lineage: Bacteria; Bacillati; Bacillota; Bacilli; Lactobacillales; Streptococcaceae.
CUCAGGACGAACGCUGGCGGCGUGCCUAAUACAUGCAAGUAGAACGCUGAGGACUGGUGCUUGCACUGGUCUAAGGAGUUGCGAACGGGUGAGUAACGCGUAGGUAACCUACCUCAUAGCGGGGGAUAACUAUUGGAAACGAUAGCUAAUACCGCAUGACAAUAGGGUACACAUGUACCCUAUUUAAAAGGGGCAACUGCUUCACUAUGAGAUGGACCUGCGUUGUAUUAGCUAGUUGGUAAGGUAACGGCUUACCAAGGCGACGAUACAUAGCCGACCUGAGAGGGUGAUCGGCCACACUGGGACUGAGACACGGCCCAGACUCCUACGGGAGGCAGCAGUAGGGAAUCUUCGGCGAAUGGGGGGAACCCUGACCGAGCAACGCCGCGUGAGUGAAGAAAGGUUUUCGGAUCGUAAAGC